RNAcentral lists this ribosomal RNA (230 nucleotides) under uncultured bacterium. RNAcentral's name for it is "partial 16S ribosomal RNA". It matches the Rfam family "Bacterial small subunit ribosomal RNA", at positions 564 to 791 of the family's 1533-position model. The record is from RNAcentral.
AGCGCGCGUAGGUGGUUUGUUAAGUUGGAUGUGAAAGCCCCGGGCUCAACCUGGGAACUGCAUCCAAAACUGGCAAGCUAGAGUAUGGUAGAGGGGUGGUGGAAUUUCCUGUGUAGCGGUGAAAUGCGUAGAUAUAGGAAGGAACACCAGUGGCGAAGGCGACCACCUGGACUGAUACUGACACUGAGGUGCGAAAGCGUGGGGGAGCAAACAGGAUUAGAUACCCCAGU